This 210-nucleotide ribosomal RNA is filed under the name Escherichia coli. RNAcentral's name for it is "partial 16S ribosomal RNA". It matches the Rfam family "Bacterial small subunit ribosomal RNA", at positions 1 to 218 of the family's 1533-position model. Lineage: Bacteria; Pseudomonadati; Pseudomonadota; Gammaproteobacteria; Enterobacterales; Enterobacteriaceae. The record is from RNAcentral.
AAAUUGAAGAGUUUGAUCAUGGCUCAGAUUGAACGCUGGCGGCAGGCCUAACACAUGCAAGUCGAACGGUAACAGAAAGCAGCUUGCUGCUUUGCUGACGAGUGGCGGACGGGUGAGUAAUGUCUGGGAAACUGCCUGAUGGAGGGGGAUAACUACUGGAAACGGUAGCUAAUACCGCAUAAUGUCGCAAGACCAAAGAGGGGGACCUUC